Molecule: ribosomal RNA, 257 nt
Filed under: uncultured bacterium
Lineage: Bacteria
Description: partial 16S ribosomal RNA
Rfam family: Bacterial small subunit ribosomal RNA
Source: RNAcentral
GUCCACGCCCUAACGAUGAUUACUCGAUGUUGGCGAUACACCGUCCAGCGUCCAAGCGAAAGCGUUAAGUAAUCCACCUGGGGAGUACGGCCGCAAGGCUGAAACUCAAAGGAAUUGACGGGGCCCGCACAAGCGGAGGAGCAUGUGGUUUAAUUCGAUGGUACGCGAGGAACCUUACCUGGGCUUGAAAGUUAGUGACGAAUCCUGAAAGGGAUUCUCCCGCAAGGGCACGAAACUAGGUGCUGCAUGGCUGUCGU